Molecule: RNA transcript, 2775 nt
Organism: Anthonomus grandis grandis
Lineage: Eukaryota; Metazoa; Arthropoda; Insecta; Coleoptera; Curculionidae
Gene name: alpha-tubulin N-acetyltransferase-like
Exons: 11
Source: RefSeq, a predicted model, not a curated record
UUUCCCAAACGUUGAACGCGGCACUCGUCUCUCAGUCAAAACAGCCGUGCGUCUUUAACAAAACAAAAGAGAAAAACAAUUUUCAUUUUGACAUUUCACUUGUCAAAAAUAACUUUAAAUGUCAUAAGGUUUCGAGUUCCGUCCGGUGUUUUUUCCUCCGUAUUCUCCAUUCGAAAGCGAUUCAUCGAUUUUUCUCUUGUGCGGAAGCUGUGCGAGAUCACCCACCCUCUUCCCCCCAAUACAGCAUCCCCCACCGGUGUUUUUUUUGACGAGAAAAUCUUCAGGUGAAAAAUGGAUUUCCGGUUUAAUUUGAACGAGAUCUUCCGGGAACCCGUGGUGGAAAUCGGAAACACCUUGGUGCCGCCCAAGUUUACCGGGGAUAAAAGGGCGUUAUGGGAUACACAGUCAAAAGUCUCACAGAUAGUCAAUGCGAUGGGCGAGGCUUCUGCGGCUGCCCAAGGACUGUCUAAGCCGAUCACCACAGCCGAUCGGCUCAGGAAUUCUGAGCAUAAGCUUUAUUUGCUUAUUGACCAUAGUGCAAACAAUGGAAGGGGUUCAGUAACAGGAAUGCUAAAAACUGGCCAAAAAGGUCUCUACGUCUUCGAUAGAGAGGGUCAACAUUACCAGGUUUCUCCGCCCUGUAUAUUGGACUUCUAUGUGCACGAAUCAAAGCAAAGAUCUGGAUAUGGAAGAAGACUUUUUGAACAUAUGUUGUUUAGGGAACAAGUUGAGCCAGUUAAGAUGGCCAUCGAUAGGCCCAGUGAGAAACUGUUGGGAUUUUUAAAUAAGCAUUAUGGUCUACACUCUCCCGUGAAACAGAUGAAUAACUAUGUGGUUUUUGAUGGAUUUUUUCCGAGGGCUGGAGACCAUCCGAGAACGCCGGUAGAUACCGAUCAGAGUUCUCCUACUAAAAAACAAUCGGCCAAUGGACUACAACAUGGUGGCUUUCCCACUUCUCCUUAUGGGAGAUAUGGGGCCCGUAAGCCUCCUUGUAGUAUGAACCAGAUAAUCCAUAAUGAUUCAGCAGUAAUCAAGCGCAAUCAAGAACCCACAGGAGUAAGAUCCGAACCUUUCACGAACCUACAAGCCCAGCAAAAUUACCAAUAUAGAAUGCAGAAUCCCUGGCAGACUACCCAGAGUGUCCCCAAUAUGCCCAUCAUGCAAAAUCAGCAACAGUUUUGUUACGGUCAAAAUAUGCCUCAGAAUUAUGUUAUGGCUCAGGGAGACGCCCCGCCAAAUCCCCCACCGAAUUAUUAUUAUCCUCCUCAACAGUACUAUAACCAGCCAACCGUACCUACUUCAGCCACAUCUGGCAAAACUAGGGAACCUAUUUUACCCCAAUCGUUUGAUGGUACCGUGAGAAAAGCACCACAUGUGGCACAAUCUUUGCCCAUGAACAGCAUGCAGCCAAGUCAGCCAGUUUUAAUACACUCUACACCAUCUGCACCACUGUCUUAUCAGAUGUACAAUAAUGCUCCAAUGCAACAGUAUGGACAGAACUUAGUUACUGAAAUACCUCCUCAAAGGUUUAUGCAGCAAGAGCCUGCUUACAAACAAGUUCAACCACAAGAACAGGCUCAAGGGUAUCAAAUGAACCAGAAUGUCAAUAGUCAACAACUAGAGCAUCAGAACCAAGUACCAAAUGAGCAAAUUUUACAUAAUUCUGUGGUUCAAGGACAAGUACAGGUGCAGCCCAGUCAACAGUACAAUGAAUUGGCUCAGCGAACUGUAGCGUCACCUCAAAAUUAUUCCUACAGUCAAAGCCAGCAGCAACAACAACAAACUUCUUCUACUUCCCCUAACGUAAUAACACCACAGAUCAAAGAAGAAAUGCCUGCUCAGAACCAGUUGUCUAGUCCAGAACUAAUGCUUAAUUCAUCUCAAGCUAAUCAAGAACCUCUACAGCAACAGGAAAAUCUCCAAAGCAACCAAAUGGCUGUAACUCAACAGAUACAGCAGCAGAAUUAUGUGCAAAAUACAUCUUCUUCCAUGGCAAUGCCCACCAACAAUCACCAAACCAGCAAUCCCCAACCAAGUCCAUGUUUACCAACGAAUAAUCAACAAAAUGCUCCUCAAGAAACUCAAAAUGUUCCUCAAAAACUUCCGGAACAAAACCAACCGUCUGCAGUGAUUUCUUCCCAAGAAAUACCUUCGAGUGGCCAUCACCUGUACCAUCAAAUGGUUCAGCAAGGGUCUGAAGUUCAUCCUGUGCAGCAGAAUAUAGUUUCCGGAGGGUAUUUAAAUAAUCCGGUGGGUGGUCAGGGUGUCGACAAUAUGGCUGGAAUGAUGCAGCAGAAGCAAUCGGUGCCGAAUGUUUGUAGUAGUACUGCGGAAUAUGAUGGAAGCUGCCAACCACCGGUACCGAAACAAUACGACCUCUCGAAGGGCUACCCGCCGCAACUUCAACAAUCUGCGGUAGUCGCCGGGACCCCAAUAAUCAUAAGAAAUUAACAGUGUAAGAAGUAGAUUUCCUACCAAAAUUCCUUGUUAUCCCAAAUUGUCCUUUUAUCUGGUUUGUCAGGGAUACGUAUCGCUUCAUAUGCUUAUAUGGCACAAAUCGUAUCGCAGUAGUGUAUACAGAGCGUACAAAGCAAAAAAAAAACAAAACCUUAGCCAGUAUAUGUACAUAGAACCACCAAAAAAAAAACUUAUUCCAGACAAAGUGCGCCGAAAGCGGACCGACCGAAUUCCCUAAACAUUGAACAUCCGGAAAACGGUGAACCGGAAGCGAACGGUCACGCGGUCGAGGUGCCACCGCCCAGUGACGACCAACCA